CAGGCUAAAUCCUAGGUGUAUGGUACAGUGAUUCAACAACUCUGUACAUCACUCAAUGCUGAUCACAGACUACUGUAGUGGUAAAGAAGACAGCUGGAAG
Molecule: long non-coding RNA, 100 nt
Organism: Neogale vison (American mink)
Lineage: Eukaryota; Metazoa; Chordata; Mammalia; Carnivora; Mustelidae
Exons: 3
Source: RefSeq, a predicted model, not a curated record